Planococcus citri (citrus mealybug) is the source of this 501-nucleotide long non-coding RNA. RefSeq lists it as uncharacterized. The record is from RefSeq and is a predicted model, not a curated record. Lineage: Eukaryota; Metazoa; Arthropoda; Insecta; Hemiptera; Pseudococcidae. The transcript is spliced from 2 exons.
GCCAAAAUUAAAAACAUCAGGUUGUAAAGUACAGAGAUUAAUUUUUCAAAAUGUACUUAUACAUUAACGUAGAUUUAUUCAUUAGUUGCUGUGUAGUGUGUACUCGUUUUUACGUGAAAGUGUUUAUUAAUCUUUCAAACGACGAGUGGAAAAAUCCAACAAAACAUGAAGUCAGCACAAUUGACACUCAUUCAUAUUAUCGCAUUCGUCCUAUUGAUUGAACUAUUAACUGACAAUGUAGGCGGUGAUAAAUACAAAUGUCGUAGAGAAGAAAAAAAAUUUUCGGAUGAAUAUACUUGUUGGGAUAAUUGCCGGAAUUUCUGCAAAGGGAAUACUGGCCAUGUUGCUAAAUGUAACUUUUUUGCAUGCGUAUACGAUGGACUUUGUUUAUGUGAUGAAGAACGUUACAGAAAUAUAAGUUAUCCUGAGUAUUUGAAUAAGAAGAAGAAGAACCGUUGAAAAUGUUUUAUAAAUACAUUUAUGUAGAUCAAGAGAAAAGUU